RNAcentral lists this ribosomal RNA (1530 nucleotides) under Escherichia coli. RNAcentral's name for it is "bacterial SSU rRNA". It matches the Rfam family "Bacterial small subunit ribosomal RNA". The record is from RNAcentral. Lineage: Bacteria; Pseudomonadati; Pseudomonadota; Gammaproteobacteria; Enterobacterales; Enterobacteriaceae.
AGAGUUUGAUCAUGGCUCAGAUUGAACGCUGGCGGCAGGCCUAACACAUGCAAGUCGAACGGUAACAGGAAGCAGCUUGCUGCUUCGCUGACGAGUGGCGGACGGGUGAGUAAUGUCUGGGAAACUGCCUGAUGGAGGGGGAUAACUACUGGAAACGGUAGCUAAUACCGCAUAAUGUCGCAAGACCAAAGAGGGGGACCUUCGGGCCUCUUGCCAUCGGAUGUGCCCAGAUGGGAUUAGCUUGUUGGUGGGGUAACGGCUCACCAAGGCGACGAUCCCUAGCUGGUCUGAGAGGAUGACCAGCCACACUGGAACUGAGACACGGUCCAGACUCCUACGGGAGGCAGCAGUGGGGAAUAUUGCACAAUGGGCGCAAGCCUGAUGCAGCCAUGCCGCGUGUAUGAAGAAGGCCUUCGGGUUGUAAAGUACUUUCAGCGGGGAGGAAGGGAGUAAAGUUAAUACCUUUGCUCAUUGACGUUACCCGCAGAAGAAGCACCGGCUAACUCCGUGCCAGCAGCCGCGGUAAUACGGAGGGUGCAAGCGUUAAUCGGAAUUACUGGGCGUAAAGCGCACGCAGGCGGUUUGUUAAGUCAGAUGUGAAAUCCCCGGGCUCAACCUGGGAACUGCAUCUGAUACUGGCAAGCUUGAGUCUCGUAGAGGGGGGUAGAAUUCCAGGUGUAGCGGUGAAAUGCGUAGAGAUCUGGAGGAAUACCGGUGGCGAAGGCGGCCCCCUGGACGAAGACUGACGCUCAGGUGCGAAAGCGUGGGGAGCAAACAGGAUUAGAUACCCUGGUAGUCCACGCCGUAAACGAUGUCGACUUGGAGGUUGUGCCCUUGAGGCGUGGCUUCCGGAGCUAACGCGUUAAGUCGACCGCCUGGGGAGUACGGCCGCAAGGUUAAAACUCAAAUGAAUUGACGGGGGCCCGCACAAGCGGUGGAGCAUGUGGUUUAAUUCGAUGCAACGCGAAGAACCUUACCUGGUCUUGAUAUCCACGGAAGUUUUCAGAGAUGAGAAUGUGCCUUCGGGAACCGUGAGACAGGUGCUGCAUGGCUGUCGUCAGCUCGUGUUGUGAAAUGUUGGGUUAAGUCCCGCAACGAGCGCAACCCUUAUCCUUUGUUGCCAGCGGUCCGGCCGGGAACUCAAAGGAGACUGCCAGUGAUAAACUGGAGGAAGGUGGGGAUGACGUCAAGUCAUCAUGGCCCUUACGACCAGGGCUACACACGUGCUACAAUGGCGCAUACAAAGAGAAGCGACCUCGCGAGAGCAAGCGGACCUCAUAAAGUGCGUCGUAGUCCGGAUUGGAGUCUGCAACUCGACUCCAUGAAGUCGGAAUCGCUAGUAAUCGUGGAUCAGAAUGCCACGGUGAAUACGUUCCCGGGCCUUGUACACACCGCCCGUCACACCAUGGGAGUGGGUUGCAAAAGAAGUAGGUAGCUUAACCUUCGGGAGGGCGCUUACCACUUUGUGAUUCAUGACUGGGGUGAAGUCGUAACAAGGUAACCGUAGGGGAACCUGCGGUUGGAUCACCU